Molecule: long non-coding RNA, 359 nt
Filed under: Mytilus galloprovincialis (Mediterranean mussel)
Lineage: Eukaryota; Metazoa; Mollusca; Bivalvia; Mytilida; Mytilidae
Source: RNAcentral
GGGUGGUGGCUUGGGUCAUUACUAUAACAACGGUUGGCUUUGGUGACGUGGUCCCAACAUCUGUUGCUGGAAAGAUUAUAUGCUCCGCCUGCGCUUUAUGUGGUAUUUUAACUCUUGCAUUGCUAACUUCCAUAUUUGUUGAAACUUUCAUGGCCUUAUAUGGUGUAGCACAGAUUGACAUGGUACCAAAAGAAGAUCGUAUCAGAAGGUGGGAUCAUUAUUCUAAGAAAAAUAGAGGAAAUGGACGUCCAGAUUUCAUAGACAUAAGGAAAACAAAAAUUUAAACUAUGGUAAGUUUUAUCGAAAGACACAGUUGCAAACAAGUAUCUAAAACAUGUGAAGAUGAAUUCAAAUCAGCA